GAUGAACGCUAGCUACAGGCUUAACACAUGCAAGUCGAGGGGAAACGACAUCGAAAGCUUGCUUUUGAUGGGCGUCGACCGGCGCACGGGUGAGUAACGCGUAUCCAACCUGCCCACCACUUGGGGAUAACCUUGCGAAAGUAAGACUAAUACCCAAUGAUAUCUCUAGAAGACAUCUGAAAGAGAUUAAAGAUUUAUCGGUGAUGGAUGGGGAUGCGUCUGAUUAGCUUGUUGGCGGGGUAACGGCCCACCAAGGCAACGAUCAGUAGGGGUUCUGAGAGGAAGGUCCCCCACAUUGGAACUGAGACACGGUCCAAACUCCUACGGGAGGCAGCAGUGAGGAAUAUUGGUCAAUGGACGAGAGUCUGAACCAGCCACGUAGCGUGCAGGAAGACGGCCCUAUGGGUUGUAAACUGCUUUUAUAAGGGAAUAAAGUGAGUCUCGUGAGACUUUUUGCAUGUACCUUAUGAAUAAGGACCGGCUAAUUCCGU
This 491-nucleotide ribosomal RNA is filed under the name uncultured bacterium. RNAcentral describes it as "partial 16S ribosomal RNA". It matches the Rfam family "Bacterial small subunit ribosomal RNA", at positions 28 to 506 of the family's 1533-position model. The record is from RNAcentral.